CACUGCUGAGGAUUUGGGACAGCAAGAACAAGAAUUGCGAGACCUGCAAGCGGCGACAGCUGCAGCCGCUACCGCUGCUCCCGAUCCUGUGGAGACACAGACGGUCAGACUCCGACUGGUGGUGCCUAUGCGGGUGCUGUCCAGCCAUGCCAACAGAAGAGGAAUGUCUGUGCUGCAACAAAUUACAUCGCGGACAGUUCUAACUGGAGAGGCUCAAUGCAGACCCCAUGGAUCAUGUGUAUGUGACAGACCAUUGGUGUUACAUAUAGAUACAGGGGUGCUGGAGAUGUUCUUCAGAACCUCCCAUAUCAACUGGCAGCGGCAGCCUAGACAAGCUGGACCAGGAGGGCAUAUGAUUAACAAACAAUAACGGUUGGUGGCCUACAGAUUAUUUUUGGAGUGAGUUCUACGUGGCGAGAAGCUACGCAGAGGACACCGAAUCCCCUUGCCUGGGGGUGUUGUUGAGGCCAUAGCAAUUUAUCCCUCACACGAUAGACAGGUUAUGGAAUGGUGACCACAGAUGGUAUCUAGAUGCAUUGAAGAUAAUUCGGCCAAGAACAGUGUGAACCUCGACACCCCCUCUAACUGGCUGAAAAUGGCAAAAAUGGCAUUCAGUAUGGUCCUUCACUACUUCUACUGUGAGGCCUGAGUCCGAGCCAAAAACCUGUACACAGCAGUCGAAGCUAUCAACUGCCUUUUCUCUCAUGCUUUUUCUCUCAGGAGCGACAUGGGGUGCUUAUGGAGUGAGCAUGGAGAGAGAUCCAGUCCAAACUUCUCUCAUGUUCCUGGUGUACUGGUAGGAAAAUGGACAAAGACAUAAUGGCUGUAAAGAACAGCGGCGGCUCAGUUGCGAGACAUUAUCAAGGGUCAUCCACUUUGAACAUGUGCCAUUAAAAGGACAAACUGAAACUCUUUCUGAAGAAGAACAUGAAGAAUGAGUGCCGUGAAGGGGGGGUGGUCAACCAUGCCAGUAAUUCAUUUAGGCGUGUCCAAAAUUGUUCAGUUGGGGUAUCAGGUUGAUUGUGGAUGUCUGCACAUUGCAAAAUAUAUAGUAAUUUAGACUAAGAAUGCAUUGAAAUACCAAUCUGUCAUUACCACAGGUGAUGAGAAAAGUGAGGGUCUUAAAUUACAGUGAUAGAACCAACGUGAAGCACUGAGGACUGUCAUUCUAAAUUUGGGUUGGAUGACGUAUCAAUAAUUAUAAUGCAUGAUUUGGAAAGACAAGGCUUCUAGAGACAGAGCUGUGCCCUAAAAAAGGAGGAGAGACCAGAUUGUAGCUUGGACAAACCUUGCCCCAAUCUCAUUCUUAUCAAGUUUGGUGUGAAACUGUUACAACGUGUUCUCUUUCUCUUCCCUGUGAAAUGUUAUUAAAAACAUGCUGUAAGGCGAUGUUCCUCUCUGGCUGAUAAGAUUUCAGUAGCUCUCUUGUUUUCUACUCCUAUAGAGGAUAGCAACUCUGGAUGAGCUCCCAUUUCCCCCUGUUCUUUUCCUUUAACAAGCUGAGGGUAAGGACAUCUAAAGCCUUAACCUGUUUACAUUAAGUGGAACACUGAUCUGAUGAGCCAGCACCAACCUUUUGAAAGUUUUAGCAGAAUUGUAUUUUGACUAGGUGU
Non-coding RNA from Salmo salar (Atlantic salmon), 1613 nucleotides. The record is from RefSeq and is a predicted model, not a curated record. NCBI's taxonomy places the organism in Eukaryota, Metazoa, Chordata, Actinopteri, Salmoniformes, Salmonidae.